Molecule: non-coding RNA, 258 nt
Organism: Paramisgurnus dabryanus
Lineage: Eukaryota; Metazoa; Chordata; Actinopteri; Cypriniformes; Cobitidae
Source: RefSeq, a predicted model, not a curated record
AUUCGAUUGAUGGUUUGAGUUGAAACAGCCAUGAUGGGUGGUUUCAAACUUGUGUUUUGUGUGUUGUUGUGUCACCACUUUUUACACAAAGGGCAAACUUCUCCUGUGGGACAUAAAACUUACAAGAAUAAUGUUGAGCAAGAACUUCUGGGGAGUCAAGGAAACCAAAUGCCAAUUUCUUACCAAGUCAACAACCAAAAUCCAAGACCAGUGGUAGCAAAGUGCAACAUGGCUGUUCUGCUGUCUUUAAGAAAUGCA